This 29-nucleotide non-coding RNA is filed under the name Rattus norvegicus (Norway rat). Lineage: Eukaryota; Metazoa; Chordata; Mammalia; Rodentia; Muridae. The record is from RNAcentral.
UUCAUAGCACUUAUCAUUAUCUGGACUCA